Molecule: ribosomal RNA, 3184 nt
Filed under: Fusarium meridionale
Lineage: Eukaryota; Fungi; Ascomycota; Sordariomycetes; Hypocreales; Nectriaceae
Description: 16S ribosomal RNA
Rfam family: Bacterial large subunit ribosomal RNA
Source: RNAcentral
AGCUACAUAUUAAAGAGAUUUAUUUAUAUAAAUAGGCUUGCUAGCUGAUUGUAUAUAUAUGCUGGCCGUAUUUCAUAGCAAGCUCGCUUUUAAUAGGCAACCAGUAAUAUGAGCAAUUCUUUACCUACAAGCCUAUAAUUAUAUUAACUCUAAGAGAAAUCUAAUAAUAAACGGAGUGAAUUGAAAUAUCUUAUUAACUUCAGGAAAAGAAAUCAAAAGAGAUUCUAUGAUUAGCGUGAGCUAAAAUAGAGUAGCCUAGAAAGUCAAAUGGUGGAUAAACUGUUUAAAUUUAAUGGGGAACCUUCCUCAAAGGCUAAAUAUAAUAUGUAAGCGAUAGUGGAAAGUACCGUGAGGGAACCAAAACAAAAACAGUGAUUUUAUAAGCAGUUCGGAAAAAUAAAAAAGUUAGAACGUACCUUUUGCAUAAUGGGUCACCAAGUUAACAUUAGAUGCGAGAUUCUACGUAGUUAAACCGAGCGUUAAAAUAACGGUAAGUGUCUAAAGUUAGACCCGAAGCCUGGUGAUUUUACCAUAAUCAGGAUUAUAAAAGUCCGAACGGAAUAUUGUAGCAUAAAUAUCCGAAGAAUUAUGGUAGGUGUAGUGAAAGACAAUACUGACCAGGAUAGCUGGUUUUCUGCGAAACCUAUAACAGUAGGCAAUUUAAGUAUAAUAUCUUAGCAGGUACAGAAUUUAAUCUCAGACAAGACAUAAGGCUUAACUUGUUAACAAGUUAAGCCCAUGUUUUAUUUUGUACAAAUUGGGGGAUCAUGAAGAUUUUAUCAGUGAGUAUGUAGACUCGGAAUGGCAAAGAUAUAUCUUAAAUCAUCAGACAUAGAAUGAUAAGGUUGUAUGUCAAAAGGGAAACAGCCCAGAACAAGAGUUAAGGUUCCUAAAUUAUUAGUUGAGUGAAAUUAAGAAGGUUUUUAUUAAAGUCGACAAGGAGAUAGGCUUAGAAGCAGCCAUAAUUUUAUGACCUCGUAACAGAGCGCUUGUUAAGUUUUAAAAGCAUCGAAAAUUUAUCGGAUCUAAACAAUAUACCGAAACCUUGUCCAUAUUAUUUUAUAAUUAAUAGUCUCAGCAAGCUCGGACUAUACAAUUAUAAUUAAAUGGGGUAGCAGAACGUUGAGCUAAAUUAAGAUUUUUAUUUUUUAAAUGAAAUUAUAAUAAUUUAACUCAAGUGAUAAUGGUGACAUGAGUAACUAAAAGAAAAUUUUCCGCCUAAAGCUUAUGGAUGUAAUUAAGUAACGGCCUCUAAGUUUAUGGAAUCAAAAGAUUAAAACGAUGAGACAAUCUUUCAUACUAAGGACGACAUUUUAAGUGCAAAAUGUACUGGAAAAAUAGUAAUAAGUUUAAGCUAUGGCUAGAACUAGCUAUAGCUGUAAAUGGAAAGUAACCGUACCUAGAAUCUGAAACAAGUAAGCUAGUAGAGAAUACGAAGGCGUAAAUGAGCUAACAAUCAUAAAGGAACUCGGCAAAUUGACUACCGUAACUUCGGGAUAAGGAGAGCUCAUUAUUCUUGAUUAAUAUCAGGUAAAGAGGAAGAAGCAUGAAAUAGUGUUGUACGACUGUUUAAUUAAAACACAGCACUUUGCUGAAAGAUUAAAAAUCUAAGUAUAGAGUGUGAUGUCUGCCCGGUGCCGGCUGGUUAACAGAUAUAAUUAAAUAUACUAAUAUUUGAUGUAGACGGAAACCCCGGUUAAAGGCGGCCUUAACGUGAGGGUCCUAAGGUAGCGAAAUGCCUUGGCCGUUAAAUGCGGUCUUGCAUGAAUGAUGUAACGAUACAACAGCUGUCUCUAUGAUUGACUCAGUGAAAUUGGAAUAGCUGUGCAGAUACAGUUUACCUCUAGUUAGACGAGAAGACCCUAUGCAGCUUUACUGUCACUAAUUAUAGAGUAUGAUAAACAAUUUUCAGUUUAUAAGGUAAUUGACGGCCGGCUUGCUUAGCAAGCUGGCUCUAUGACAAUGAGAAUCCUUUAUUUUUUUUUCAUAUGAAUGAAUUGGUUUAGGACGAGCUUAAGCUCGUAGUAAAUCAACCUAAUUCAGCUUAUUUUCCUUUCUGCUGUAAGCGCAUAAUGAUAGAUUUUACUUAAAUUUGGAUUUAUGCCUGCAGAAAUAGAUAAGUACCCUUGGUUAAGGAACUAUCGCUAGGGGACAGUUUAUGUGGGGCACAGACCCUGUAAAGAGUAAACAGGAGUGUCUAAUAAUUUAUAAUUAUUUUGUUUGCGAUUUAAGGUAGUAGAACUAUUUUUAAUCAUAUAAAAUUAUUUAUAUGUACAUUCGUUGUAUAUAUAUUUAAAAAAAGGUAGGAUUUUCACUAUAUAGAAAUUAGAGAUAAUAAAAAUAUUAAGUAGUAGCUGCUGAGUCCUAAUCCCGCCGAAGGGGGGAUAUGGACUACUAUGUAUUUCAUAGCAAGCUCGCACUAAUAUUUUUUAACUAUUAAGACUGGCUAUCUAGCUAUGCUCUAAUAGUUAUGUUUUAAUUAUCUAAAAAGCUCAACGGCUAAAUCUUGCCUUACUGUUUGAUUAUCAACAAAUCUUACAGUUGCGUAAGCAGGGCAUAGGAUCACAAGAUGCAACAAGGAAAGAUCUUGGAUUAUUGGAAAAGCUACGCUAGGGAUAACAGGCUAAUUUGCGCAAGAGUGUACAAAAUGAGUGCGCGGUUUGGCACCUCGAUGUCGGCUUAACUUAUCCUCAUGGAUGCAGGAACUAUGUAGGGUGCGACUGUUCGUCGAUUAAAAAGUUACAUGAGCUGGGUUAAAUACGUCGUGAGACAGUAUGGUUUCUAUCUUCUAGGGGGAAUUAGAAUAUAAUAAGAACUAACUUUUGUACGAAAGGAACAAGAAGAAUUUAAUUUGUAAAAGGGUUAAAUAAUAGUUACUAACCUAUGGUUUACCUGUUGUCUAUGUGCCCAAAUAUUAAAAUAUAGGAUAAAAAUUCUAUAUAUCUGUAUAGCUUUAGCUAUACAUAGGGAUGUUUCUUUCACUAAGAUAAAUAUAUAGCAUAGGCACGGCAGGAAAGCUAAGUUGGUUAAGGAUAAGUGCUGAAAGCAUAUAGGCACGAAGCUUAUCUUAAGAUAUUUCUUAAAUAUACGUAAAAUAUUAUUACGAAGGAUUAAUAUAGGCUUUAUCCGUACGAAUCUGGAGAUUUUUAAGAAUAAAGUACUAAUUUUAUAAAUAACUAUUUAU